UGUACAGCCCUCAGGUGGCUGAAAAAGAACAAAAUCUGGAAGUCUUGAGACGUGAGAAGACCUAACCCUAAAGUUUAUUCCCAACCAUCAGGAAGCUCCAACCAUCCCAAAUCACUCACCCACCUGAGGAUAUUGACAAUGGCUAAAUUCCAUUUGUACUCAUCUGGCUACCCCAGACAAACUUAAUAGGUGCAGCAGGAGCUUCAGGGAGCUGUAAGCAGUGACCCCUCUGACACCAAGAAUCUUCCUAUCUGGCCAGGAAUGGUGGCAUAUGCCUGUGAUCCCAGCACUUGAGAGGCUGAGGCAGAAGGAUCAUUAAUUCAAGACCAGCCUCAGCCCGUGCUUCUCCUCUCCACCUUGUGCAUCGCUCGGGGAAGAUGGUGCUGAGAAAUAGAGACACAGAC
RNAcentral lists this long non-coding RNA (404 nucleotides) under Heterocephalus glaber (naked mole-rat). RNAcentral's name for it is "lncRNA (ENSHGLG00100035812.1)". Lineage: Eukaryota; Metazoa; Chordata; Mammalia; Rodentia; Bathyergidae. The record is from RNAcentral.